CCGUCAAGGAUAUGUCAGACACCAUACUGGUCAUUAUGGUAGGAGACACACUUGAAGCUGUUCACAGAGAGGAUGCCAAAAGCAGAGGCAUGUGAUGGAGAAUAAUGCAGGAGCUCAAAGAGCCUGUGGUGGGGAGUUGUAUGUGUCCACCUGGCUAGGAUGUAGCACACAGUUACUCAAUCCAACACUAAUCUAAGUGUUGCUCUGAAGGGAUUUUGUAGAUUGGGCUAACAUCUACUAUCAGUUGACUUAAGGAGAUUAUCUUCAAUAAUUUGAAUAGGCCCCAUUUGAUCAGUUAAAGGCCUAAAGAGUGGAAUUGAGGUUCCUCUGAGGAAGAAGAAAUUCUUCCCCAAGACUGCAGCAUCAUCAGCUCCUGCCUGAGCACUUGCAGCCUGCUGACCUGCCCUGAAGAUUUCAGAAUUUGCCAACCCCACAAUUCCAUGAGCAGAUACCUUAAAGUAAGCCUUUUUUUAUUUCUGUCUCUAUCUCUAUGUCUCUCUCUCUUCCUCUACUUCUACCUCUUUAUCUCCAUCGCUGCCUCCAUCUUCAUCACCAUCUCUAUCAUCUCUGUCUCCAUCUGUAUCUCUAAGUGUGCAUCCAUAUCUCUGUCUGCAUAUCUUGU
This 622-nucleotide long non-coding RNA is filed under the name Homo sapiens (human). RNAcentral's name for it is "non-protein coding lnc-TUBA3C-11:2". Lineage: Eukaryota; Metazoa; Chordata; Mammalia; Primates; Hominidae. The record is from RNAcentral.